AAGGGUGAGUAACGCGUGGGUUAUCUGCCUUCAAGACUGGGAUAACGGUUAGAAAUGAUCGCUAAUACCGGAUAAUACAUAUUUCAGUACGCUGUUAUAUGUUGAAAGGAGCCUUUAAAGCUCUACUCGAAGAUGAGCCUGCGUCGUAUUAGCUAGUUGGUGGGGUAAAGGCCUACCAAGGCGACGAUGCGUAGCCGACCUGAGAGGGUGAUCGGCCACACUGGGACUGAGACACGGCCCAGACUCCUACGGGAGACAGCAGUUAGGAAUAUUUGUCAAUGGAGGAAACUCUGAACAAGCAAUGCCGCGUGAAGGAUGACGGUCCUAUGGAUUGUAAACUUCUGUUGUUAGGGAAGAACGACUACACAAGGAAAUGUGUGUAGAGUGACGGUACCUUUCAAGAAAGCUCCGGCUAACUACGUGCCAGCAGCCGCGGUAAUACGUAGGGAGCGAGCGUUAUCCGGAUUUAUUGGGUGUAAAGGGUGCGUAGGCGGCUUUAUAAGUCGGUGGUCUAAGUCCGAAGCUUAACUUCGGUUCGCCAUUGAAACUGUAGAGCUUGAGUAUGGAAGAGGUAAGUGGAAUUUCUAGUGUAGCGGUUAAAUGCGUAGAUAUUAGAAGGAACACCAGUGGCGAAAGCGACUUACUGGUCCACUACUGACGCUGAGGCACGAAAGCGUGGGGAGCAAAUAGGAUUAGAUACCCUAGUAGUCCACGCCGUAAAC
This 722-nucleotide ribosomal RNA is filed under the name uncultured bacterium. RNAcentral describes it as "bacterial SSU rRNA". It matches the Rfam family "Bacterial small subunit ribosomal RNA", at positions 102 to 807 of the family's 1533-position model. The record is from RNAcentral.